Molecule: ribosomal RNA, 2902 nt
Filed under: Klebsiella pneumoniae
Lineage: Bacteria; Pseudomonadati; Pseudomonadota; Gammaproteobacteria; Enterobacterales; Enterobacteriaceae
Description: 23S ribosomal RNA
Rfam family: Bacterial large subunit ribosomal RNA
Source: RNAcentral
GGUUAAGCGACUAAGCGUACACGGUGGAUGCCCUGGCAGUCAGAGGCGAUGAAGGACGUGCUAAUCUGCGAAAAGCGUCGGUAAGGUGAUAUGAACCGUUAUAGCCGGCGAUGUCCGAAUGGGGAAACCCAGUGCAAUUCGUUGCACUAUCGUUAACUGAAUACAUAGGUUAACGAGGCGAACCGGGGGAACUGAAACAUCUAAGUACCCCGAGGAAAAGAAAUCAACCGAGAUUCCCCCAGUAGCGGCGAGCGAACGGGGAGCAGCCCAGAGUCUGAAUCAGCUUGUGUGUUAGUGGAACGGUCUGGAAAGUCCGACGGUACAGGGUGAUAGUCCCGUACACCAAAAUGCACAGGCUGUGAACUCGAAGAGUAGGGCGGGACACGUGGUAUCCUGUCUGAAUAUGGGGGGACCAUCCUCCAAGGCUAAAUACUCCUGACUGACCGAUAGUGAACCAGUACCGUGAGGGAAAGGCGAAAAGAACCCCGGCGAGGGGAGUGAAAAAGAACCUGAAACCGUGUACGUACAAGCAGUGGGAGCACCUUCGGGUGUGACUGCGUACCUUUUGUAUAAUGGGUCAGCGACUUAUAUUCUGUAGCAAGGUUAACCGUAUAGGGGAGCCGCAGGGAAACCGAGUCUUAACUGGGCGUUAAGUUGCAGGGUAUAGACCCGAAACCCGGUGAUCUAGCCAUGGGCAGGUUGAAGGUUGGGUAACACUAACUGGAGGACCGAACCGACUAAUGUUGAAAAAUUAGCGGAUGACUUGUGGCUGGGGGUGAAAGGCCAAUCAAACCGGGAGAUAGCUGGUUCUCCCCGAAAGCUAUUUAGGUAGCGCCUCGUGAAUUCAUCUUCGGGGGUAGAGCACUGUUUCGGCUAGGGGGUCAUCCCGACUUACCAAUCCGAUGCAAACUACGAAUACCGAAGAAUGUUAUCACGGGAGACACACGGCGGGUGCUAACGUCCGUCGUGAAGAGGGAAACAACCCAGACCGCCAGCUAAGGUCCCAAAGUCAUGGUUAAGUGGGAAACGAUGUGGGAAGGCACAGACAGCCAGGAUGUUGGCUUAGAAGCAGCCAUCAUUUAAAGAAAGCGUAAUAGCUCACUGGUCGAGUCGGCCUGCGCGGAAGAUGUAACGGGGCUAAACCAUGCACCGAAGCUGCGGCAGCGACACUAUGUGUUGUUGGGUAGGGGAGCGUUCUGUAAGCCUGCGAAGGUGACCUGUGAGGGUUGCUGGAGGUAUCAGAAGUGCGAAUGCUGACAUAAGUAACGAUAAAGCGGGUGAAAAGCCCGCUCGCCGGAAGACCAAGGGUUCCUGUCCAACGUUAAUCGGGGCAGGGUGAGUCGACCCCUAAGGCGAGGCCGAAAGGCGUAGUCGAUGGGAAACAGGUUAAUAUUCCUGUACUUGGUGUUACUGCGAAGGGGGGACGGAGAAGGCUAUGUUAGCCGGGCGACGGUUGUCCCGGUUUAAGCAUGUAGGCUGGUUGUCCAGGCAAAUCCGGAUAAUCAAGGCUGAGGUGUGAUGACGAGGCACUACGGUGCUGAAGUAACAAAUGCCCUGCUUCCAGGAAAAGCCUCUAAGCAUCAGGUAACAUUAAAUCGUACCCCAAACCGACACAGGUGGUCAGGUAGAGAAUACCAAGGCGCUUGAGAGAACUCGGGUGAAGGAACUAGGCAAAAUGGUGCCGUAACUUCGGGAGAAGGCACGCUGGUGUGUAGGUGAAGUCCCUGCGGAUGGAGCUGAGACCAGUCGAAGAUACCAGCUGGCUGCAACUGUUUAUUAAAAACACAGCACUGUGCAAACACGAAAGUGGACGUAUACGGUGUGACGCCUGCCCGGUGCCGGAAGGUUAAUUGAUGGGGUUAUCCGUAAGGAGAAGCUCUUGAUCGAAGCCCCGGUAAACGGCGGCCGUAACUAUAACGGUCCUAAGGUAGCGAAAUUCCUUGUCGGGUAAGUUCCGACCUGCACGAAUGGCGUAAUGAUGGCCAGGCUGUCUCCACCCGAGACUCAGUGAAAUUGAACUCGCUGUGAAGAUGCAGUGUACCCGCGGCAAGACGGAAAGACCCCGUGAACCUUUACUAUAGCUUGACACUGAACAUUGAGCCUUGAUGUGUAGGAUAGGUGGGAGGCUUUGAAGCGUGGACGCCAGUCUGCGUGGAGCCAACCUUGAAAUACCACCCUUUAAUGUUUGAUGUUCUAACGUUGGCCCCUGACCGGGGUUGCGGACAGUGUCUGGUGGGUAGUUUGACUGGGGCGGUCUCCUCCCAAAGCGUAACGGAGGAGCACGAAGGUUAGCUAAUCCUGGUCGGACAUCAGGAGGUUAGUGCAAUGGCAUAAGCUAGCUUGACUGCGAGCGUGACGGCGCGAGCAGGUGCGAAAGCAGGUCAUAGUGAUCCGGUGGUUCUGAAUGGAAGGGCCAUCGCUCAACGGAUAAAAGGUACUCCGGGGAUAACAGGCUGAUACCGCCCAAGAGUUCAUAUCGACGGCGGUGUUUGGCACCUCGAUGUCGGCUCAUCACAUCCUGGGGCUGAAGUAGGUCCCAAGGGUAUGGCUGUUCGCCAUUUAAAGUGGUACGCGAGCUGGGUUUAGAACGUCGUGAGACAGUUCGGUCCCUAUCUGCCGUGGGCGCUGGAGAAUUGAGGGGGGCUGCUCCUAGUACGAGAGGACCGGAGUGGACGCAUCACUGGUGUUCGGGUUGUCAUGCCAAUGGCACUGCCCGGUAGCUAAAUGCGGAAGAGAUAAGUGCUGAAAGCAUCUAAGCACGAAACUUGCCCCGAGAUGAGUUCUCCCUGAGACUUUAAGUCUCCUGAAGGAACGUUGAAGACGACGACGUUGAUAGGCCGGGUGUGUAAGCGCAGCGAUGCGUUGAGCUAACCGGUACUAAUGAACCGUGAGGCUUAACCUU